GCUCAAUUUGUAGCAAAUAAUUCUUCAGAUAAGCAAAAAAUAAUCCUGAGGACAAACACACUGUGUAUUUCAUACACUGAAAUCUCUUGAUUUGGAGCAUGCAAUUUCUGCCCUCCCUCUCCCCAACGGAACAAUUUGAUAUUUCAGUCCUAAAGUAAUAAUACAUACAAACAGCUUCAUUUACUUGGAGAAAACUGAUGAGCCUUCAUCUAUAGUCAAGCUCUUUAGUGCUCAGAUCUGACACAGGAGUCUACUUAAAGCUCAACAGGAGUUUGUGAAUAGCUCUUCGUGUGACAUUCUAGCUCUAAAAAAAUAAUUUGCUUUUGGUUUUAUACUGUUUCCACCUCACAGAUGAAGUUAGCAAGAAUCUAAGCAGCCAUCCUGUUCCAGAACAAACAUGUUUAAAGGUAUACUAUCCUAUUGUGACAGUUAAGCAGUCAGGAAACUCAAAACAA
This 455-nucleotide long non-coding RNA is filed under the name Cyanistes caeruleus (blue tit). Its description in RNAcentral is "lncRNA (ENSCCEG00000009895.1)". The record is from RNAcentral. Lineage: Eukaryota; Metazoa; Chordata; Aves; Passeriformes; Paridae.